Molecule: long non-coding RNA, 202 nt
Filed under: Elaeis guineensis (African oil palm)
Lineage: Eukaryota; Viridiplantae; Streptophyta; Magnoliopsida; Arecales; Arecaceae
Description: long non-coding RNA (EGUI_LNC040784)
Source: RNAcentral
GAAAGUGCCAAAUACAAUCCGAACGCUAAUCCAUUAGCCACUCCAUACCGGAUCGCGGUUCCAUCUGGAGAAAUUAUGGCUUAGACCACAGCCAGAUAGACCAUCGAAAAUCUCAAAGCACGUGCACGGUGGAUAAGAUGCAAUUGGGAAUUCGUGAAAUACAAAGGUUAAUGUGGCGUGUUAUCCACCGUGGGAUUUGGAU